UACGUAGGGUGCGAGCGUUGUCCGGAAUUAUUGGGCGUAAAGGGCUCGUAGGCGGUUUGUCGCGUCGGGAGUGAAAACUCAGGGCUUAACCCUGAGCCUGCUUCCGAUACGGGCAGACUAGAGGUAUGCAGGGGAGAACGGAAUUCCUGGUGUAGCGGUGAAAUGCGCAGAUAUCAGGAGGAACACCGGUGGCGAAGGCGGUUCUCUGGGCCUUACCUGACGCUGAGGAGCGAAAGCGUGGGGAGCAAACAGG
This 253-nucleotide ribosomal RNA is filed under the name uncultured bacterium. Its description in RNAcentral is "partial 16S ribosomal RNA". It matches the Rfam family "Bacterial small subunit ribosomal RNA", at positions 524 to 776 of the family's 1533-position model. The record is from RNAcentral.